This 28-nucleotide non-coding RNA is filed under the name Mus musculus (house mouse). The record is from RNAcentral. Lineage: Eukaryota; Metazoa; Chordata; Mammalia; Rodentia; Muridae.
UACAUCUGAGGUGAUUUGGAAACUUGGC